GAAAGACAGAAAGAGAGAGUAAGGAGUGGAGAAAGACAGAAAGAGAGAGUAAGGAGUGGAGAAAGACAGAAAGAGAGAGUAAGGAGAGGAGAAAGAGAGAAAGAGAGAGUAAGGAGUGGAGAAAGAGAGAGUAAGGAGUGGAGAAAGACAGAAAGAGAGAGUAAGGAGUGGAGAAAGACAGAAAGAGAGAAGAGAGAAAGAGAGAAAGAGAGAGUAAGGAGUGGAGAAAGAGAGAGUAAGGAGUGGAGAAAGAGAGAAAGAGAGAGUAAGGAGUGGAGAAAGACAGAAAGAGAGAGUAAGGAGUGGAGAAAGACAGAGAGAGAGAGUAAGGAGUGGAGAAAGAGAGAGUAAGGAGUGGAGAAAGACAGAAAGAGAGAGUAAGGAGUGGAGAAAGACAGAAAGAGAGAGUAAGGAGUGGAGAAAGACAGAAAGAGAGAGA
Long non-coding RNA from Oncorhynchus tshawytscha (Chinook salmon), 439 nucleotides. The record is from Ensembl. Lineage: Eukaryota; Metazoa; Chordata; Actinopteri; Salmoniformes; Salmonidae.